RNAcentral lists this long non-coding RNA (870 nucleotides) under Phoenix dactylifera (date palm). Its description in RNAcentral is "long non-coding RNA (PDAC_LNC012238)". The record is from RNAcentral. Lineage: Eukaryota; Viridiplantae; Streptophyta; Magnoliopsida; Arecales; Arecaceae.
UGGGACUUGAUGGAUGGCUGAGAUGACUUGCAGUUGGAGUUGUGGUAUAGUAGCUUAGAUAUGGCUAGGGCACGGAACAAGGGAGAAAAUACGUGAACUUGGGGUGGCCAUGUGUUGAAAAGAAAAAUUGGGGUCGACUCUAAUUGGUUAGGAAGAUCCGAUUCAUGGGGUGCAUGCGAUUUGGGUUUAGGGGUCAUCCCAGAUGAAUUUGAUUCGACCUGCAUACAUUAGAUGGACCAAUAAAAUCAAGCAAAAUCGAAUUAUUUUUAAUAAUGCAAUGAUGAAGGUAACACAAAUUUUUAGUUGAAUUUACAAAAUAUGUGAAUUAAAAUAAUGAUAAGUGCUAUGAAUAAGAUAUUAAUUUAUGCAUUAUUUAGCACUUAUCACUUGCCCAGGCCAGUUGGACCAAGAAUUCGUGUAACCGCCUAUAACCAUACUUAGCUGACAACAACCGCUUAACGGAGUUGGGCAGAUAAGAUGGUAGCCACGACCCUGAUCGGAACUUUUCUAGACAGAAAGGAAUUAGCCAAAUUCAAUUAGCCUAAAGACUCAUUGUAGUUUCUAAGUUAAGUUGGCUAGUUGAGUUUUAAAUUAGGCUUGGGUUCUAGAUUUAUGAGGGUAGUUGUUUUGGGCUAAGGAAAGGUGAUGAAAUCCUUCCCUUAUGUUGUAAUUAGAAUGCCCUUAAUAUGAUUUAUGAUGGAUGCAACUAUUUUAAAUGUCCACAUAAGUUGAGAUUUCAAAUUUCAAAUUUCAAAUUUCGAAUUUAAACUUUUGAAUUUUGAAUUUCAGAUUUGAAUUUUAGUUUUCAGCUUUUGAAUUUCAAAUUUCAAAUUUCAAGUUUAAAUUUCAAAUUUAAAUUUUGGGAUCUCA